CAUGGGGAAUAGUUGCACAAUGGGGGAAACCCUGAUGCAGCCAUGCCGCGUGAGUGAAGAGGACCUUCGGGUGUAAAGCACUUUCAGUAGGGAGGAAGGUAGUGUAGUUAACACCUGCAUUAUUUGACGUUACCUACAGAAGAAGCACCGGCUAACUCCGUGCCAGCAGCCGCGGUAAUACGGAGGGUGCGAGCGUUAAUCGGAAUUACUGGGCGUAAAGCGCAUGCAGGCGGCCUGUUAAGUCAGAUGUGAAAGCCCGGGGCUUAACCUCGGAAAUUGCAUUUGAAACUGGCAGGCUAGAGUCUUGUAGAGGGGGGUAGGAAUUUCAGGUGUAGCGGUGAAAUGCGUAGAGAUCUGAAGGAAUACCAGUGGCGAAGGCGGCCCCCUGGACAAAGACUGACGCUCAGAUGCGAAAGCGUGGGGAGCAAACAGGAUUAGAUACCCUGGUAG
This 450-nucleotide ribosomal RNA is filed under the name uncultured bacterium. RNAcentral's name for it is "bacterial SSU rRNA". It matches the Rfam family "Bacterial small subunit ribosomal RNA", at positions 352 to 793 of the family's 1533-position model. The record is from RNAcentral.